Molecule: ribosomal RNA, 497 nt
Filed under: uncultured bacterium
Lineage: Bacteria
Description: partial 16S ribosomal RNA
Rfam family: Bacterial small subunit ribosomal RNA
Source: RNAcentral
GAUGAACGCUGGCGGCGUGCCUAAUACAUGCAAGUCGAGCGAACAGAUAAGGAGCUUGCUCCUUUGACGUUAGCGGCGGACGGGUGAGUAACACGUGGGUAACCUACCUAUAAGACUGGAAUAACUCCGGGAAACCGGGGCUAAUGCCGGAUAACAUUUAGAACCGCAUGGUUCUAAAGUGAAAGAUGGUUUUGCUAUCACUUAUAGAUGGACCCGCGCCGUAUUAGCUAGUUGGUAAGGUAACGGCUUACCAAGGCAACGAUACGUAGCCGACCUGAGAGGGUGGUCGGCCACACUGGAACUGAGACACGGUCCAGACUCCUACGGGGGGCAGCAGUAGGGAAUCUUCCGCAAUGGGCGAAAGCCUGACGGAGCAACGCCGCGUGAGGGAUGAAGGUCUUCGGAUCGUAAAACUCUGUUAUUAGGGAAGAACAAAUGUGUAAGUAACUGUGCACGUCUUGACGGUACCUAAUCAGAAAGCCACGGCUAACUACGUG